UCGAACUGGUUCAGGAAUUUUGUUUUUUUCGCAUUUUCGGUGCGUGAAUGUUCGUGGUCUUUGUAGAAGCAUCCAAAGGAAUCUGUUGUUUUAUUCUAGCGCGUCAUCGCGUCGAUAUUCGUUUCGCUUUUUGCUCAGUGUGGAAAGGCCUUAAGACAUCUAAUUAUAUAAAUUCCAUACAAAGAUGACAUUUAAGAUAAUUCAGACCUCUUACAGAUGCUCCUGGAUCACCAGGCGGUCCAGGUAUACCCAUCGGCCCUCUAUCCCCAGGAAGUCCGGCUGCACCAGGAAGCCCACCAUCUCCAGUCUUCUGGUUUGGGCUCCACAUACUCAAAAGGACCUGGUUCACCCUGAUCCCCCUGUUCCCCCUUGAUCUUCCUGGGUCUCCCUAUGGACAACAGAACAAAAUAUCAUUCAAGAACAUUUAAAACAAUCAAAAACGGCUUCAUAUUAUGCACAGCCAUCCUUCCCUGGAAGCCCAGGAAGACCACCAGGCCCUGGAUGACCCUGGAAGAUGAAUGCACUCCACCUAAUCCAGCAUAGCCUUCAUCUCCUUGAAAGCCCUAAUACAAAAGAGUGCAACAGAAUGAAAGCCCUUGUAUUGAGUUUUCUAAGAAUUGUGUGUGGGUGAGUGUGUUUUUCUAUGUACUUGGUC
Molecule: long non-coding RNA, 655 nt
Organism: Onychostoma macrolepis
Lineage: Eukaryota; Metazoa; Chordata; Actinopteri; Cypriniformes; Cyprinidae
Exons: 5
Source: RefSeq, a predicted model, not a curated record